AAGAAAACAUGAAACGGGUUUUAUUAUGUAGGUAUUCAGGUCCGACAAUUCACUUUGUCGAUGAAGAGUACGACUCAGGGCGUAUACUUGCUCAAAGUGCAGUCCGCGUGAAUGCUAAUGAUACACCAGAGGAAUUGGCCAAAAGGGUUCUUCGUGAGGAACACAAACUCUAUGUUGAGGUAGUAGCUGCAAUCUGCGAAGAACGUAUAAAAUGGAGAGAAGAUGGUGUUCCUCUCAUUCAAAGCAAAGAAAACCCUGACGAGUAUUAUUAGAUCAUUGACAAAUGAAGUUCAACCACAUUGGAUCUCAGAUUAGUUCCAUUUUCAAAUCAAUGUAUUUCAACCUUAGGUCAUAUAGUCUUCAGGCUGUAGAAGAAGUUUUUGCGCAGAGUAUAGAUUGUGAAAUGUUUCUGAAAGCUCAAGUUUUGUUUCAGUUUGGUCAGAAUUAUAUGGAAGGAGAUGAAAUUAAAGCCAAGAGACUUUUUGUAUUGUGUAAUACCAAAAGCUUUAUCCAAUU
Molecule: non-coding RNA, 516 nt
Organism: Camelina sativa (false flax)
Lineage: Eukaryota; Viridiplantae; Streptophyta; Magnoliopsida; Brassicales; Brassicaceae
Source: RefSeq, a predicted model, not a curated record